GUAGGUGGCAAGCGUUGUCCGGAAUUAUUGGGCGUAAAGCGCGCGCAGGCGGUUCUUUAAGUCUGAUGUGAAAGCCCACGGCUCAACCGUGGAGGGUCAUUGGAAACUGGAGAACUUGAGUACAGAAGAGGAAAGCGGAAUUCCACGUGUAGCGGUGAAAUGCGUAGAGAUGUGGAGGAACACCAGUGGCGAAGGCGGCUUUCUGGUCUGUAACUGACGCUGAGGCGCGAAAGCGUGGGGAGCAAACAGGAUUAGAUACCCUGGUAGUCCACGCCGUAAACGAUGAGUGCUAAGUGUUAGGGGGGUUUCCGCCCCCCUUAGUGCUGCAGCUAAUGCAUUAAGCACUCCGCCUGGGAGUACGGCCGCAAGGCUG
This 373-nucleotide ribosomal RNA is filed under the name uncultured organism. RNAcentral's name for it is "partial 16S ribosomal RNA". It matches the Rfam family "Bacterial small subunit ribosomal RNA", at positions 527 to 896 of the family's 1533-position model. The record is from RNAcentral.